This 497-nucleotide ribosomal RNA is filed under the name uncultured bacterium. RNAcentral describes it as "partial 16S ribosomal RNA". It matches the Rfam family "Bacterial small subunit ribosomal RNA", at positions 28 to 507 of the family's 1533-position model. The record is from RNAcentral.
GAUGAACGCUGGCGGCGUGCCUAAUACAUGCAAGUCGAGCGAACAGACGAGGAGCUUGCUCCUCUGACGUUAGCGGCGGACGGGUGAGUAACACGUGGAUAACCUACCUAUAAGACUGGGAUAACUUCGGGAAACCGGAGCUAAUACCGGAUAAUAUAUUGAACCGCAUGGUUCAAUAGUGAAAGACGGUUUUGCUGUCACUUAUAGAUGGAUCCGCGCCGCAUUAGCUAGUUGGUAAGGUAACGGCUUACCAAGGCAACGAUGCGUAGCCGACCUGAGAGGGUGAUCGGCCACACUGGAACUGAGACACGGUCCAGACUCCUACGGGAGGCAGCAGUAGGGAAUCUUCCGCAAUGGGCGAAAGAUUGACGGAGCAACGCCGCGUGAGUGAUGAAGGUCUUCGGAUCGUAAAACUCUGUUAUUAGGGAAGAACAAAUGUGUAAGUAACUAUGCACGUCUUGACGGUACCUAAUCAGAAAGCCACGGCUAACUACGUG